Long non-coding RNA from Lepus europaeus (European hare), 3910 nucleotides. RefSeq lists it as uncharacterized. The record is from RefSeq and is a predicted model, not a curated record. The transcript is spliced from 3 exons. Lineage: Eukaryota; Metazoa; Chordata; Mammalia; Lagomorpha; Leporidae.
CAGGCCCCGGGGCGCCGCGUCGGCUGCUGCCGUGAGAACGCCUUGUGCCGCGGAGGUCCCCGACGCGCGGCCCCCGACACGUUCCCUGCUCGGUCCCUCCGAGCCUCAGCCUUCUCACCCUAAAAUGGGGGUGCCGGGAGCCUCCGCAGAGGGCUGUGGACCCGCUCCGGGGAGCGCAGGUGUUGGGGCCGAGUGGUAGCGGCUUUUCCCUUUCGUGGCGGUGACUACGUUUAAGGGAAGUUCACCCUAGUCAGGCGUGGAUGUGUCAUCUCCCGCCAGGGCGGCGGGGCGCAGGCGGGGGCCUGGCCUCUUCCUGGGGGGGAGGGGCGCGCGGGGAAGAGGAGGGCGUCCUUCCUCCCCGCAGGGGGCGGGCUGAGGGGGCUCGCGUCGCCCGAGUGACAGCCGAGCAGCAGCAUCCUCGGGGCUCCCCUUCGGCGGUGGCUGGCGUUAUGGAGUGCACAGCUGUGUCCACUGCAGGAGGGCAGCCCCGCGAACCUUCAUGCUUCCCGGGGACCCCCACCCGCAGGCGCCCUGGAGGUCUCAGCGGAGGACCCCGGUGCAACCCUGCAGAACUCAGGCCUCGGGGGACCCCGGGCGCCGCUGUGAGUCCUGAGACCCCGGCCCAGGCCGCACCCUGUGUGCAGCUUGCAUGCGGCUUCGGGGGACCAGGGAUCUGGGGUGCGGUAGGGGCCCCGCUCCAGGACGGGACCGGCUGGCGCCCCCGGCUUGCUGCGCGGGGCCCGGGAGGGCGGGGGCGGGGCGCAGCGAAGCCUGAUUCUGCGCCCUGGAACAUUCUGGUAAUUACAAUGAAAUGAAAGGAAGAAGCCAGGCCAGGUUCCCCUUCGGUCCUGCGGGUGCCGGGCCGCGCGCUGCCCCCACUCCCCACCCCGGGCGCGGAAGGGAAAUUCCCGCGCUCUGACGUCAUCUAGAGGUCGGACUCGGGGAAGCUGCGCGGCCACACCCCUGCCUGCCGGCUACCAGCUUCCCUGCCCUGCCGCUGGCCCUGCCGCUGCGCACUGCGCGCGGUUUGUCCCCAGAGCGGAGAAGGAGCAGGGGACGGAGGCUCUGCAGGAAGUGGCCCGGCCCUGGGCACCGCUUCUGGGGAUCUAGGCGAGGGUGAAGCGGCACCACGGCUGGCCUCAGCCGGGCCCCGGGAGCUGCAGGUCUGUUCCUGUGCCAUCCUGUUGCAGCCUCUGUCGGCGCAUUUGCCUGGUAUUAACGGAAGCACUGGACACUGCUCUGUGCCUGCUCCUCCAGCGUUGACAAUGGUCAUUUCCACCUAACCGACCCCGAGCCUUGGAAAUGAUGCAAAAGUUAGGGCGGGCAGUGUGGUCCAGUGAGCUAACUUGCCACUUAAGGCUCCUGCGUCCCAUAUCCGAGUGGCUGCUCCACCUCCCAUCCUGCUCCCAGCCAACGCCCGGGCAGGCAGCAAAUGAUGACCCAAGUGCUUGGGCCCCGCCACCCACGUGGGAGACAAGGACGGAGUUCCAGGCUCCUGGCUGUGGCCUGGCUGGGAAUGAAGCAGCUAACAGAACUGCUCGCGCUCGCUCUCUCUGCCUUUCAAGUAAAUGAAAAUAAAAAAAUUUAGAGAAAACAAGUUAGGAGCCAAUUCGCAGGCAGUGGAGAAUUUUUAACAAUCUUCUUAAAGCUAUGAUUCCACCAUUUUGCAUCAGAGAAAGGAUUCUGCUGAGGAGGGAGGGGGGUCUCGGUCACGGAGCGUGGGUGGGGGGCUUCGCUCUGUCCAGUGCCAUGUUCGGGUGAGGAAUCACGGCCAGGGUCAGCCCCGAUGUGCAAAGACAGCAGGCGGUCGGAGUGAUCUUAGGGGAAACACCCAGCCCACGGUCCUCCAAGCUUGUGCGGGGCGGACCUCAUGGGCGUGGAUCGUCAGGCGGGGAGGCUGUGGGCUGCGGGAGCCCCUGGGAGCCAUGGCCGCCUUGAGCCUCAGUUGCCUGCUGGGUGCCCAGCGAGUCCCCACGUGAGUGGUCACCUCGUGAGGACUGAGGCUUGGCCACCCUGGGCCCGUUCUGCAGGAAUGCUCACCGAUGGGCCCUGGUGACGGCUCUGGGCAGCAGGCGUCCCCGUGUCCUCACUGUGUCUUGGGGCCACGGCACCUAGGGCAUUGUCUCAGCUCAGCCUUGUCUUCCAGAGAAUUGCCUCCCGACGGCAGGGGACGUGGCUGUCAGCUGAUCUCAGCGUCCACAGUCAACGGCAGAAUGUGCUGAGCCCCCUGGCCGCGUGCAGAGCCCCUGGCCGCGUGCAGAGCCCUCUGGCCAUGCGCAGAGGCCCUGGCCGUGUGCCGAGCCCCCUGGCUGUGUGCAGAGCCCCUGGCCGCGUGAAGAGCCCCCUGGCUGUGUCCUCAGGCCAACACAGUCGAGCUGCUGGAGAACAGCGUGGGGAAUCCAGAUCCUCCCAGAUGGUCCCGGGUGCACCAGCAGAGCUGAGCAGCUGAGGCCACUUCCGCCUGAGCACUCCCAGGUCUGGGCCCCCACCUGGCUUUAUCCUUGGCGACCCACCCUCACCCCCAUCUCACCCCGGGCACUCCCAGCUGCCCCGCCCAGCCGCUGUCUGUCCCUGUUUGUCCGCUGUCUGCCCCUGUGCGUACUGCUUCAGCGGCCUGGGCUGUGUUCUCCCUUGGCGUCCGUGGCUCUGUGUCCUGGCCAGGUGUCUCCCAGGUCCCACCCUCAGAGACCCGCAGCAGACUGCCAGCUCGCGCCCCAGGACCACCCCAGACCACGUCACCGUCAACAGGGCGUCCUCCUCGGACUGGCCCCGGCUCCCUCCCGGGAGUCCCUGCCUCGCUCAGGGCCCCGAGUUCCAACAGACUCUUGCCGGGGGCUCCGGAGACUGCUGCGAACCACCCGGAGCCGCGCACUUCCCCAAGGCUCGCGGCCCCCACGCCGGUGCCCACCACGGUCCUGACGGUCUGCUGGCCUCUGGCCACACUCGCCCAGGCCCAGUGUGCACACAGCAGCCAAGCCUGCCGGUGGCUGCCCGAGUGUCCCCGGGCAAGGACCGCACCUCAGGCCCGUGGACAAGGCCGUGCCUCACCCUGGCCUUCCCACGCCUGCCACGAGGCGGCCUCCGCCCACCCUCCCUCCCUCGAGGCUGUCCCGCCCCACCCAGCCCAGGCCCCGACACGGGCCCAGGGCCGCCCUCGAGUGUUUGUGUAGGAUAUCAGCCCCCGGCGGCUCCUGGCCGUGCCCGGCUGACGCAGACUGGCACCCCUUCGGCACCUAAUAAAUAAUGAGCCACCCACCAGACGGCAGACCGGGCCUGCGCUUCUGCCCGCGCCCUCAGUCCACGCACCACGUGGUGCCCACGCCCGGGCUCCUCCCUGGGACGCCCCGCGCCCCCUCAGGCCGUGCCCCACCUAAGGGUCUCCGGCGGGACUGGGCCAGGCCGGCCGCCGCCCCCCCGCCCCAGCGUCUCCCUCGGCGCCGGCUGGCUGGGGCUGCCUGGCUCCGCUUUGUCUUCCUCUGCCUCCUGCCGCCCCAGGAACUGCACGUAUGGCAAAAGCGACGCUGUAACUGCCCGGAGACAAACCUGGAGGGAUGGAGUCCGCUCAGGGCCGCGUGAGCAACGCCACGGCCACUUCCCGUUCCCUGCCUUUUCUCCGGGCGGGUCUGGGCCCGUGACGUCCGUUCUCACGCUGGCGGCCGCGGCCACGGCCACGGUGCUGUGGGGCCGCGUGGCCGGCUCCCUUGUUCCAUGCAUUUGCCCUUUAGUGGCUCGGGGACGUUCUCCGAAGCAGCGGCAAAGCUGUAGCAGCAGGGAGUGGGCGAGGGACCUGGCACAGCCUCCGGGAGCCACCGGCAUCGCCGCCGAAAGGUGAAAACACGCGGGUGCCCGGCCCCGUGGGCUCAGACAGCGGGCGUGGGGGGCAGGGCGGGCAGGGCGAGGCGUUCAGGAG